AUUGAACGCUGGCGGCAUGCUUUACACAUGCAAGUCGAACGGCAGCGCGGGCUUCGGCCUGGCGGCGAGUGGCGAACGGGUGAGUAAUGCAUUGGAACGUGCCCAGUAGUGGGGGAUAGCCCGGCGAAAGCCGGAUUAAUACCGCAUACGACCUGAGGGUGAAAGCGGGGGACCGAAAGGCCUCGCGCUAUUGGAGCGGCCGAUGUCGGAUUAGCUAGUUGGUGGGGUAAAGGCUUACCAAGGCGACGAUCCGUAGCUGGUCUGAGAGGACGACCAGCCACACUGGGACUGAGACACGGCCCAGACUCCUACGGGAGGCAGCAGUGGGGAAUUUUGGACAAUGGGGCCAACCCUGAUCCAGCCAUGCCGCGUGCGGGAAGAAGGCCUUCGGGUUGUAAACCGCUUUUGUUCGGGAAGAAAUCCUCUGGGCUAAUACCCCGGGGGGAUGACGGUACCGGAAGAAUAAGCACCGGCUAACUACGUG
RNAcentral lists this ribosomal RNA (484 nucleotides) under uncultured bacterium. RNAcentral describes it as "partial 16S ribosomal RNA". It matches the Rfam family "Bacterial small subunit ribosomal RNA", at positions 28 to 507 of the family's 1533-position model. The record is from RNAcentral.